UUCAAAGCAUUUUUAGGAAAUUCACCAUAGACACUCGUCAUCGAGAAGCCUACCGCAGGACGAAAAUCCAAAAACACCUAGCAAACGCAACCGAUGACCUAGAACCAACAUAUCAAAACGACAGGAUACAAGUAUGAAAGGAAACCCAUGAUACAGUCAGAUUCACUCAGGGAAUCGACUAAACGCCCACGCAGGGGGGGGGGGUCUAAAAC
RNAcentral lists this long non-coding RNA (212 nucleotides) under Hordeum vulgare. RNAcentral describes it as "long non-coding RNA (HVUL_LNC014694)". Lineage: Eukaryota; Viridiplantae; Streptophyta; Magnoliopsida; Poales; Poaceae. The record is from RNAcentral.